AGGCGGUUGCUAGGCUCCAGCGGCUCCCGGCCAGCGGGGACGUGGAGGUGACAUUUCUCUGACCCACAGGACUGUGGGCGCCCUGCCGAGCGUCGCGCGGUCUUGGGGCGACCUGCAGUGGGGCCCCUGCGGCGCAGCGCGCGGUGGGACUGGCCGGGUUCCCGCGCCGCCCAGGGCCUGUGUCUGCGCCGGUUCCUGGCAAGGGCACCUUGGCCGGGCGGCCCGCGUCCCCUGCGCUUCCCACACCCACGUGGGCGGACCCGGCCCGCAAGCUGGGCCAGCCUGCGGUUUCCGGGCACUGGGGAGUGCGCAGAGCCCCGGGCCAGCGACCGCAGCCGGGGCCCCUGGCUUCUCCCGAGCACUUUCCCCCGGACCGGUCCCUCCAGGGUGGCGGGCGGCACCCAGGGCCGGCGCUCCUCACCAACGCGCUGCAGCUACGGGCUCAGGAGGGAGCCGCAGCGUCGGAGGAGGAAAGCAUUUAAGAAUAGCACAAAGCCUUAGGCUCGAGGAAGCGUGACUGCUUACGUGUUGAAAAUAAAGGUUCUGUAAGUCCCACCGCGGGUGCAUAUUGAAAAGAAAGGGAUCAUUAGCACGCGACCCUCGCCUAGGAGUAUAUAAACCGCAGCACGACUUUCGGAUCACAAAGGCAGAGAAAAGAACACAUUGAAGGCUUUUGCUCACUUUUCCAAGUUGUUUCGUUUCGUUUUGUUUCUAAUGUGGACGAUCAUUUAAAAUGCCUCUGGUGGCCGGGCGCGGUGACUGACGCCUGUAAUCACAGCACUUUGGGAGGCCGAGGCGGGCGGAUCACCUGAGGUCAGGAAUUCGAGACCAGCCUGGGCAAUACGGUUAAACCCCCUCUCUACUAAAAAUAAAAAAAUUAGCUGGGCGUGGUGGCAUGUGCUUGUAGUCCCAGCUACUUGGGAGGCUGAGACAGAAGAAUCGCUUGAACCCGGGAGGCGGAAGUUGCAAUGAGCCAAGAUUGCGCCAUUGCAUUCCAGCCUGGGCAACAGAGCAAGACCCUGUCUCCAAAAAAAACAAAUAAAUAUAACAAAAUUCCUCUGGUAGCCGGGUGCGGUGGCUCACGCCUGUAAUCUCAGCACUUUGGGAGGCUGAGGCAGGUGGAUCACUUGAAGUCAAGAGUUUGAGACCAGCCUGGCCAAUAUAGUGAAACCUCAUCUCUACUGAAAAUACAAAAAUUAGCCAGGCGUGGUGAUGCGCUCCUGUGAUCCCAGCUACUCGGGAGGCUGAGGCGUGAGAAUCGGUUGAACCCGGGAGGUGGAGGUUGUAGUGAUCCGAGAUUGUGCCAUUGCACUCCAGCCUGGGCAACAGAGGGAGAUCCUGUCUCUAAAAUAAAAAAUAAAAGAAAUGCCUUUGGUGAACAGGAAUUCUCAACAUUAGUGACCCGCAGUGUAUUAGUGUUAAUAAUGGACAUCCCCUUUGAUCCAGCAAGCCCAUCUAGAGAUUUCCUAGGAUAGACAAGCCAGUUUGUGCAAUUUCAUGUGUACAGCAUUGUUUUUAGUAUGGAAAGAUUAGAGUUUACAUAUCUACCCAUAGGGAGAGAGUUAAAUAAAUUAUGGUGCAUCCGUUUAGUGGAUUAGUAUACAGCCAUUAGGAAUAAAGGAAUUCUUUAUGUGCUGAUAUGAAAUAUCUUUUUUAUUUUCAAGAAAAAAACCCAGGUUCUGAAUAGUGUAUAAAGUAUGCUACUCAUUGUGCAUAGGGACAAAGAAAAUAUAUACAUUCAUGUUUGCAAAGAUACUGGAGAAAUGUUAGUAGUGGCUGCCUCUAAGGAUGACCAAGAGUGACACUGACUUUUCAUUGUAUCUUCCUUUGUUCUUUUUGAAAUUUGUACAGUCUACUUAUGCUAUCUAUUCAAAAUAAGUGGUGUUAAGAAGAAAUGCCUUUGAGAAUGAAAAUGUGUCCAUCAGCUUCCUAUGAUUGAAGAAAAGCUUCCACUUGUAAUAAACCAACUUCUCUCAUCCAGUUAUCAACAUAGACCAAAAAAAAAAAGAAAAAAAAAAGGCCAGGCGCAGUGGCUCAUGCCUGUAAUCCCAGCACUUUGGGAGGUCAAGGUGGGCAGAUCACUUGAAGUCAGGAGUUCAAGACCAGUCUGGCCAACAUGGUGAAACCCUGUCUCUACUAAAAAUACAGAAAUUAGCCGGGAAUUGGUGGUGCGCACCUAUAGUUCCAGCUACUCAGGAGGCUGAGGCAGGUGAAUCGCUUGAAUCCAGGAGGCGGAGGUUGCAUUGAGAGGAGAUCAUGCCACUGCACUGGGCGGCAGAGCAAAACUCUGUCUCAAGAAGAAAAAGAAAAAAGAAAAAAGCGGAGUCGUUCUGUGAGUGAAAACACUGAAUUCCACCGGUUCCUGAUCAUAUUGCCUUUAUUUCAUUCAUUCAUUCAUUCUGGAAAUGGGGAUAAAUAGCCCGUUUGUCUUUCCUGCAGGUUUGUUACGAUGGUGAAGGCAAUUUAGAAGGAACUAUUUAGUGGAGGAUAAAAGUGUUUUGUAAAUGUUAAGAUGCAUUGUUUUGUUUCUGUCCUGUUGCCCAAUUUUCUCUCAGCCCAACACCUGCCUCUAUUUGGUUCUUAGGUUACACAUUAAUUCCAUUUGCUUAGUAAUUUAAAGAAUGUACUGUAGUACACCAAUAAGCUAACAAACUCGGGCCCUUGACCCCAAGUCACCAGUGUCACCUAGAUUCAAAAACCAAUAUAACGAGUCAAGUAUGAAUGCACAAUAUUUUAGCUAAGCCCUUCCUGUCCCACCUCUAAUGAAUCCACAUGCUGCCCCAGGGCUUGGUACAUGCUGUUAAGUAAGCAGCUUUGCUCCCUCCUGCUCCCUGUUUUUGUCUUAGGUUGGUUUCAGUCCUUCCACUGUGGAUGGAGAAGUCACAAAGAAAUGGUUUUGCAGGCAAGGAAUCUUUACUCUGUUUAGCAACUCAGUAACUUGCUAGCAAAUAAAUGGCAAAGGGUCAAAGGAAGUGGAAACAUCACUAUUUUGCAAUCCCUAUUGAAAUGAGGGAUUCAAGCAGCAAUCAUCAAUAGAAGCCAAAAUCCUCCUUUGACGGGAACUGGAUAAUCCCAAGUGCUGGACUGUCGCCCACAGAUUCUCCGCUGCUGGUCAUGAGGGGAAAAGUGCUCAACAUACUAUACAGGCAGCUUACCCAACCCCUCUGUCCCCAGGAGCUGGGAGCAGGGAGAAAUAGUGAGGAGGUUUUCAUGGUCAAAUGUAUUUAGGAGACUUAUUUGAAUCAGGCAAUUACUUAAUUUCUGCAGCUCUUCUGAGAGCCUUUACUAAGCUAUGUGAAUUGUGAUACCGCAAGAGGAACUCUCACCAUGUAGCAUUUCCCAAAUUUUUAUUGAGACAGAGUCUCACUCUGUCACCCAGGAUGGAGUGCAAUAGCGUGAUCUCAGCUCACUGCAAUCUGCUUCCCAGGUUCAAGUGAUUGUCAUGCCUCAGCCUCCCAAGUAGCUGGGAUUACAGGCCUGUGCCACUAUGCUCAGCUACUUUUUGUAUUUUUAGUAGAGACAGGGUUUCACCAUGUUGGCUGGUCUGGUCUCGAACUCCUGGUCUCAAGUGAUCCACCUGUCUCGGCUUCCCAAAGUGCUGGGAUUAGAGACGUGAGCCACUGCGCCUGGUCCUCCCAAACUUCUUUGAACAUAGAGCCCGUUUGGAAGGUGGAUUUGUGGGACUAAGCCUCCCAGGGGCUCCGGUGGCUGUACGCCCUGAUGGCUGUGCACCCCGACCGCUGUGCACCACGACAGCUUCCAUGCCUUCCAAGCUGGGGGGUGCCAUGGGAGGGCUCAGAGCCUCACCCCAGGCUGGAUGAGCUCGACUGCUUUGUAGCUGCCUGUAUGUGGCAAGUAACUAACACUCCCUAGGCCUCAAUUUUUUAAUCUAUAAAAUGAAAGCAGUAAAUGUCACAUCAUAUAAGUUGUUGAGUAUUUAUGAGAAUUAAAAGGAAUAAUCGCCAUAAAAGGCCUGAUACUGCCAAUCAUAUAUUGGACAAAUAUGAAUUUCCCUUUUUCCCUUUAUUCUACUUUAUGGCAACUCCUACCUACUAUUCUCUUUCUUUUGCUACUAAGCAGACAUAUGGGUUUGUUUGUUUGUUUUAUCAGGGAGAGGUUCUAAAUGUUGUACCCUUUAACCCUCAAAGCAUUAUCUAUUCUCUUAGAGGGUAAAGGGCAGAGAUGUUAUCCCUAUUGGUUUCUAACCUUGGAGAAGGUCAGAAACGUCAUGAGCUCUCUCUAGAUCCUCUUAUCUGCUUCUCUUACACAAUCGUUUGGUUCUGUGUGUGGUGAAAACUGAAUUGGGGGAAAAUCAGAUCGGCAGAAACCAAAUGUUGAACCAACUGGUGAAUAGAGAAAUACAGAUUAAGUAUCCCUACAAUGGAAUAUUAUUCAGCAAUAGAAAGAAAUGAAGUAUGGACCCAUGCAUGGAAGGAUGCAGGGGUGUUUCCUACAGCAUAGAAGGACCUUGAAAACACAGGGCUAAGUGAGAGGAGCCGGACAGGAAGGAUCAUGUAUUGUGUGGUCUGCUCAUGUAUGAUCUGCUCACAUAUUGUAUGAUCUGCUUACAUGAAAUGCCCAAGGUAGGCAAAUCCAGAGUCAGGAAAUAGGUCGGUGGUUGCCAGGGACAGGGACUUUUGGGGGAAAAUAGAGAGUGGCUGUUAACAGGGACCUGCUUUCUUCUAGGGUGAUGAAAAUGGUCUAACAUUGAUUGUAGUGAGGGUUGUGCAGCUCUGUGAAUAUGCUAAAGAACCAUCGAAUUGGACACUUUAAAUGGGUGCAAAUUAUAUUCCAAUAAACUAUCUGUAGAAACUUAAGAGUUUAUUAUUAUUAUUAUUUUGAGACGGAGUCUUGGUCUGUCGCCCAGGCCGGAGUGCAGUGGCG
RNAcentral lists this long non-coding RNA (4884 nucleotides) under Homo sapiens (human). RNAcentral describes it as "non-protein coding lnc-FGFR1OP-2:6". The record is from RNAcentral. Lineage: Eukaryota; Metazoa; Chordata; Mammalia; Primates; Hominidae.